GUACAAAGGGAAGGGAGAGGUUUUGGGAAACCCUGCUUCAGCUGUGGGGCCACAGAAGGCAGGACUCAGGGAUGGUCUCCACCAUGGCCUGGUCCCCUCUCCUGCUCACCCUCCUGGCUCACUGCACAGGGUCCAGGUCUCAGGCUGUGGUGACUCAGGAGCCCUCCCUGACUAUGUCCCCAGGAUGGACAGUCACUCUCACCUGUGCCUUGAGCAGUGGAGCUGUCACCAGCAGUAAUUAUCCAUACUGGAUCCAGCAGAAGUCUGGCCAAGUCCCCGUGACACUGAUUUAUAAUACAAACAGUAAACUCUCCUGGACCCCUGCCCGGUUCUCAGGGUCCCUCCUCGGGGGCAAAGCUGCCCUGACCCUGUCAGGGGCCCAGCCUGAGGACGAGGCCGAGUACUACUGUGUUCUGUGGUACAGUGGCCAUCGCCACAGUGACACAUGCAGGGGGGAAGUGAGACACAAACCCAGGGCUCAGUGCACCCUCUGCUUCUGCCAUCCCCCGUCUACUGCUCGUAGAGGCUGGUCUCACAGGUGGGGACUCAGGAGGGUUGUUCUCUAUGGCCCCAGGGGGUGCAAUGGGAUCCACAUUUCUAAGCCAUGACAGGAUUUAACCCAC
Molecule: non-coding RNA, 623 nt
Organism: Phyllostomus discolor (pale spear-nosed bat)
Lineage: Eukaryota; Metazoa; Chordata; Mammalia; Chiroptera; Phyllostomidae
Source: the annotation of a RefSeq genome assembly